RNAcentral lists this long non-coding RNA (332 nucleotides) under Salvia miltiorrhiza (redroot sage). RNAcentral's name for it is "long non-coding RNA (SMIL_LNC012722)". The record is from RNAcentral. Lineage: Eukaryota; Viridiplantae; Streptophyta; Magnoliopsida; Lamiales; Lamiaceae.
AUAAUGUUUGAGUAACUGAACUGGAAAAUACCUUGAUGUAUAAAUGUUGGUUGGCUGUUGUUGCUGAGUUAAAUGAGCUGGAAUGACUUAACUGAAUAGAUCGAAUGUUGUGUUUUAGUAAUUGCAGUUGGUUAAUGGAAGGAGAUGGAACGAGUAAAGCCAAGCUUACCUUGAAGUGGCAGAGCACUGGAUUGAGGCCUCUGCUCUCCCAAAGUUUCUAAGUGUGGAAUGAGAACGAAGUGGAGGUUAUAUGCUGCUGAAAUCUGAAACCAAAUGAAGUGGUUGGGUGUGAAAUGCACACUUGUGCUAGUCAAAAAUGUGCAAAAUAGGCA